Molecule: ribosomal RNA, 1253 nt
Filed under: Acidimicrobiales bacterium
Lineage: Bacteria; Bacillati; Actinomycetota; Acidimicrobiia; Acidimicrobiales
Description: partial 23S ribosomal RNA
Rfam family: Bacterial large subunit ribosomal RNA
Source: RNAcentral
AGCGGCGAGCGAAAGGGGAGUAGCCCAGUCCACCACAAGCUUAAAUAAUUUAAAUGAAUGUUCUGGAAAGUUCAGCCAUAGCAGGUGAUAGCCCUGUAAUUGAAAAGUGAUUUAAGUGGGGUGGCGAAGAGUAAGACGGGACACGUGAAAUCUUGUCUGAACAUGGGGGGACCAUCCUCCAAGGCUAAAUACUCCUUACCGACCAAUAGCGAACGAGUACCGUGAGGGAAAGGUGAAAAGAACCCCGGAGAGGGGAGUGAAAUAGAACCUGAAACCGUAUGCGUACAAGCAGUGGGAGCACCUUCGGGUGUGACUGCGUACCUUUUGUAUAAUGGGUCAGCGACUUACUUUCAGUGGCAAGCUUAACCAAUUAGGGAAGGCGUAGGGAAACCGAGUCUGAAUAGGGCGAUUUAGUCUCUGGGAGUAGACCCGAAACCGGGCGAUCUAUCCAUGGCCAGGGUGAAGGUGGGGUAAUACCUACUGGAGGCCCGAACCCACUUAUGUUGAAAAAUGAGGGGAUGAGCUGUGGAUAGGGGUGAAAGGCCAAACAAACCCGGAGAUAGCUGGUUCUCUCCGAAAUCUAUUUAGGUAGAGCGUCAUGUAUUACUUCUGGGGGUAGAGCACUGUUAUGGCUAGCGGGUCGUCAAGACUUACCAAACCAUUGCAAACUCCGAAUACCAGAAAGUAUAAGCACGGGAGACACACUGCGGGUGCUAACGUCCGUAGUGGAAAGGGAAACAACCCAGACCGUCAGCUAAGGUCCCAAAAUUAUAGUUAAGUGGGAAACGAUGUGAAAAGGCACAGACAGCCAGGAGGUUGGCUUAGAAGCAGCCAUCCUUUAAAGAGUGCGUAAUAGCUCACUGGUCGAGUCGGCCUGCGCGGAAGAUUUAACGGGGCUAAACUAUAUACCGAAGCUGCGGAUGCGUGUUUACACGCAUGGUAGAGAGAGCGUUCUGUAAGCCGUUGAAGGUGAACUGUGAGGUUUGCUGGAGGUAUCAGAAGUGCGAAUGCUGACAUGAGUAACGAUAAAGGGGGUGAAAAACCCCCUCGCCAGAAGUCCAAGGUUUCCUACGCAACGUUAAUCGGCGUAGGGUUAGUCGGCCCCUAAGGCGAGGCAGAAAUGCGUAGUCGAUGGGAAACGGGUUAAUAUUCCCGUACUUCAUAUAACUGCGAUGGGAAGACGGAGAAGGUUAGCUCAGCAAGGCGAUGGUUGUCCUUGUUCAAGCGUGUAGAAAUGGUUCUUAGGAAAAUCC